This 253-nucleotide ribosomal RNA is filed under the name uncultured bacterium. RNAcentral's name for it is "partial 16S ribosomal RNA". It matches the Rfam family "Bacterial small subunit ribosomal RNA", at positions 524 to 776 of the family's 1533-position model. The record is from RNAcentral.
UACGUAGGUGGCAAGCGUUGUCCGGAUUUACUGGGCGUAAAGAGCGCGCAGGCGGUCGUUCAAGUCGCGUGUGAAAGCCCCCGGCUCAACUGGGGAGGGUCACGCGAUACUGAUCGACUCGAAGGCAGGAGAGGGUAGUGGAAUUCCCGGUGUAGUGGUGAAAUGCGUAGAGAUGCGGAGGAACACCGAUGGCGAAGGCAGCCCCCUGGGCUGACACUGACGCUCAGGCACGAAAGCGUGGGGAGCAAACAGG